AGCGGGGUACCGUGGACUCCAGGGCGGGCCCCGCUUCAGGGGAUGGGGUGGGGGCAGGACACCUGGGACAGCGCAGGUGGGUGGCAGAGCGGAGGAGGGAGGGUGAUGAAUGCGCCGGGCACCACCCGUUGCUGGACAGGUGCAGGGUCACGGGAGGGAGAGGAAGCCGAGAGUCUCCACCCCAGACAGCUUCAGUGCCCCCGCUGGUCCAAGGGAGAGGGGGAGCAGGGACACCCCCACAGGUACGGGCCGGGGCGCUGCAUAAGCUCCUGGGUGAUGCUGGCACCGGUCGGGGGGCAUGUCUGUAAGUGCCUGUGCUUGGUGGUGGGGGGCGGGUGGGGACAUGCAAGCCUGCCCACUGGGAGGGGCCCCUUUGCUGCAGGUACCAUAGCGUCCGGGUCAGAUGAUGCUGCGGGCUUCGUGGUCAGGCCGCCUGGUGUUACUAACUGGGUAUUCUCGGGCAAAUGACCUCACUUCCCACAUUCUGUUUCCUCAUCUGCACAGUAGGGACAUCAGUAGCAUCCGUCUCAUAGCAUUGUUAGGAGAGUUAAUGAAAUAGUACCUGCAGGGGCUUCCCUGGUGGCCCAGUGGUUAAGAAUCCGCCCAGCAAUGCAAGGGUCACAGGUUCGAUCUGUGGUCCGGGAAGAUCCCACUAAGCCCGGGAGUCCCAACUCCUGAGCCCACGUGCUGCAAAUGCUGAAGCCGCAUGCGCAAAGCCAUCGAAACGAGAAGCCCUCACCCCGCGUGGAGAGUAGCCCCGCUCGCUGCAACCGGAGAAAGCCUGCGCAGUGACUGAGACCCAGCGCAGCCAAGAAAAACAAACACAAGCCUGCCAAGUGCUUGGAAGAGGAGCCUGCAGAGUCUGCUGCUCGGCCCCCCUGGGAGGUACCCAGGUACCCAAAAUCCAACACUGGGGGCUUCUUGGUUUGUGAUCUGGAGUGCCUGGAACUCUGCAAACUUCCUCACUCCUGGAAUCCGUCACUGGAUGUCACCACUGCGCUGGCGCUCAGGAAUGCUACUCCUUCGGACCUUAAGAAGCUGAAUCACAGGCUGGAGGGAAGAAUCCCAGUGUGAACAAGAGCAGUGGAUGAAGGGAAACAGAAACAAGGAAGUCAGGCAGGCGGAUACUUUACCACUGAGCCACCAGGGAAGCCAGAGGGGAAGACAAAGCGGGACAGAACAAAUGUACAAAAUCAGAAGUGUGAAGAAGAAAUAACCACGGAUAGAGCAGCGACAGUUUCCUAUGCCUGCUUGAAGAUUACCACAAACUUGGUGGCUUGAAGACACCACUUUUUGUGGCAUAAGAUGGUGGAUGAGAAGGACGUGCGCUCGUUUCUCCUGCGAGAACUCUAAAACCACAACUUGCUGCUGAACAACCGUCCACUGGAGAAUGUUGGAUCCCACCAAAAAAGACACCCCACGUCCCAGGGCAGAGGAGAAGCCCCAGCAAGACGGUAGGAGGGGCGAGAUAGCAUUUAAAACCAAACCCCUUACCCGCCAGAGAUGCUCAGAGGGAUCAAACAAACUUGUGUACACCAGGAACCAGAGACCCCACAGAGACUGAGCCAGAACCGUGUUUGGGCAUCUCCUGAGGAGGUGUGGGUGAGCAGUGGCCUGCUGCAGGGGCAGGGGCUCGGGCUGCAGCAGACCUGGGUAUGGCAAAGGCCCUCUUAGAGGAGGUCGCCAUUAAUCCUGCCAUAGAGCUGCCAGAACUUACACAGGACUGGGAAGCAGACUCUUGGAGGGCACAGCAGAAACUUGUGUGCACUAGGACCCAGGAGCAAGGAACGGCAACCCCACAGGAGACUGACCCAGACUUGGGGCAGAGGCGUGGGUUGACGGUGGCCUGCUGCCGGGUCGGGGCACGGAGUGCAUGGGACCUUCUGAAGGAGGUCGCCAUUAUCUUCAUCACCUCCACCAUAGUCUGGCUUCAAAUCAAACAACCGGGAGGGAACACAGCCCCACCCUUCAAUAGAAAAUUGGAUUAAAGAUUUACUGAGCAUGGCCCCACCCAUCAGAAUAAGACCCAGUUUCCCCCUCUGUC
This is a long non-coding RNA of Cervus elaphus (red deer), 2044 nucleotides long. RefSeq lists it as uncharacterized. The record is from RefSeq and is a predicted model, not a curated record. The transcript has 5 exons. Lineage: Eukaryota; Metazoa; Chordata; Mammalia; Artiodactyla; Cervidae.